GAUGAACGCUGGCGGCGUGCCUAAUACAUGCAAGUAGAACGCUGAAGGAGGAGCUUGCUCUUCUGGAUGAGUUGCGAACGGGUGAGUAACGCGUAGGUAACCUGCCUGGUAGCGGGGGAUAACUAUUGGAAACGAUAGCUAAUACCGCAUGACAACAGUUAUUGCAUGAUAACUGUUUAAAAGUGGCAACUGCUCCACUACCAGAUGGACCUGCGUUGUAUUAGCUAGUUGGUGAGGUAACGGCUCACCAAGGCGACGAUACAUAGCCGACCUGAGAGGGUGGUCGGCCACACGGGGACUGAGCCACGGCCCAGGCUCCUACGGGAGGCAGCAGUAGGGAAUCUUCGGCAAUGGACGGAAGUCUGACCGAGCAACGCCGCGUGAGUGAAGAAGGUUUUCGGAUCGUAAAGAUCUGUUGUAAGAGAAGAACGAGUGUGAGAGUGGAAAGUGCACACUGUGACGGUAUCUUACCAGAAAGGGACGGCUAACUACGU
RNAcentral lists this ribosomal RNA (494 nucleotides) under uncultured bacterium. RNAcentral describes it as "partial 16S ribosomal RNA". It matches the Rfam family "Bacterial small subunit ribosomal RNA", at positions 28 to 506 of the family's 1533-position model. The record is from RNAcentral.